AAUAAAAAAAAAAACAAACAGAGAGAGAGAUGUAUCAGUUCAACUCUCCCUGAACUCACCUUUGGUAUCCAUGACUCCUCUUUGGUAUCCAUGCAUCUGACUCCUCUUUGGUAUCCAUGAAAAACAUUCUUAGGUCCUCUGUAUUGCAUGUAUGUUCUCACAGACCUGGAUAUGAAAUACAGGCAGCUGUGGUGACCACGAUGAAAUCUCAGUUUAAUGAAAGAAAAGUCAGGGAAUGUGCAGUGCAUAGAGCUUCACGAAUGAGCCAAAUUAAUCUGAGAAGCACAAGAAAGAAGGCAACAAAAGCAUCUGUACAUCAGACCUUUGGUCAGCUACGCAUCAUCAGCAAGAUCCUACUGUCCUCUCAGACAACUCAUAGUCUGUCAAAAGCCAGAAAUGGAGAUAGAAGGCAGGGAGAAAACCCUUUGGGACAGUCUAACAUUCAAAAUAAAGUUGAUAUUGCAACCCCUCCUGAUUUAAGACUGUGAAGCAUCCCUGUUCCUGACUAACAUGCCAGGUCCCAUGCUGGCAUAUGUCUUCUUUGGUCAGUGUGCAACAAGGUAUCCUUUCUCUGAUCCUGCCCUUCCGCCUGCAUAGAUCAUGAUACCAUUUCUGAUGGUAGGAGACAAAGGGAGACGCUGAAGUAAUUGAUUCAAGCUUAUCUAAGUAUUUACAGAAAUAAGCCUGAAUGACUAGACAUAAAAUACUAUAGCAGUCAGAUUAAGACAAUCCACUCCAGUUACAGUUAAUCAGGGCUUUAGCCUCCAAGGAGCUGAUUUGAGACUAAUAAAGUGUUUUCCAGCUUCCA
RNAcentral lists this long non-coding RNA (808 nucleotides) under Coturnix japonica (Japanese quail). RNAcentral describes it as "lncRNA (ENSCJPG00005020611.1)". The record is from RNAcentral. Lineage: Eukaryota; Metazoa; Chordata; Aves; Galliformes; Phasianidae.